RNAcentral lists this ribosomal RNA (815 nucleotides) under uncultured bacterium. Its description in RNAcentral is "bacterial SSU rRNA". It matches the Rfam family "Bacterial small subunit ribosomal RNA", at positions 58 to 916 of the family's 1533-position model. The record is from RNAcentral.
CAAGUCGACGGGAAUCUUCGGAUUCUAGUGGCGGACGGGUGAGUAACGCGUAAGAAUCUAACUUCAGGACGGGGACAACAGUUGGAAACGACUGCUAAUACCCGAUGUGCCGCAAGGUGAAAACUAAUUGGCCUGAAGAAGAGCUUGCGUCUGAUUAGCUAGUUGGUGGGGUAAGAGCCUACCAAGGCGACGAUCAGUAGCUGGUCUGAGAGGAUGAGCAGCCACACUGGGACUGAGACACGGCCCAGACUCCUACGGGAGGCAGCAGUGGGGAAUUUUCCGCAAUGGGCGAAAGCCUGACGGAGCAACGCCGCGUGAGGGAGGAAGGUCUUUGGAUUGUAAACCUCUUUUCUCAAGGAAGAAGUUCUGACGGUACUUGAGGAAUCAGCCUCGGCUAACUCCGUGCCAGCAGCCGCGGUAAUACGGGGGAGGCAAGCGUUAUCCGGAAUUAUUGGGCGUAAAGCGUCCGCAGGUGGUCAGCCAAGUCUGCCGUCAAAUCAGGUUGCUUAACGACCUAAAGGCGGUGGAAACUGGCAGACUAGAGAGCAGUAGGGGUAGCAGGAAUUCCCAGUGUAGCGGUGAAAUGCGUAGAGAUUGGGAAGAACAUCGGUGGCGAAAGCGUGCUACUGGGCUGUAUCUGACACUCAGGGACGAAAGCUAGGGGAGCGAAAGGGAUUAGAUACCCCUGUAGUCCUAGCCGUAAACGAUGGAUACUAGGCGUGGCUUGUAUCGACCCGAGCCGUGCCGAAGCUAACGCGUUAAGUAUCCCGCCUGGGGAGUACGCACGCAAGUGUGAAACUCAAAGGAAUUGACGG